RNAcentral lists this ribosomal RNA (1462 nucleotides) under metagenome. RNAcentral describes it as "bacterial SSU rRNA". It matches the Rfam family "Bacterial small subunit ribosomal RNA". The record is from RNAcentral.
AGAGUUUGAUCCUGGCUCAGAGCGAACGCUAGCGGCGGGCUUAACACAUGCAAGUCGAGCGGAGGGGCAACCCUUAGCGGCGAACGGGUGAGUAACGCGUAGGUAACGUGCCUUCAGGUGGGGAACAACCGUGGGAAACCAUGGCUAAUACCGCAUAAUGUCGAAAGAUGAAAGCCUUCGGGCGCCUGGAGAGCGGCCUGCGUCCCAUUACCUAGUUGGUAGGGUAACGGCCUACCAAGGGAACGAUGGGUAGCUGGUCUAAGAGGAUGAUCAGCCACACUGGAACUGAGACACGGUCCAGACUCCUACGGGAGGCAGCAGUGGGGAAUAUUGCGCAAUGGGGGAAACCCUGACGCAGCCACGCCGCGUGAGUGAAGAAGGCCUUCGGGUCGUAAAGCUCUGUCGGGAGAGACGAAGGGGUAAAACUCUGACGGUAUCUCGCAAGAAAGCACCGGCUAACUCUGUGCCAGCAGCCGCGGUAAUACAGAGGGUGCAAGCGUUGCUCGGAUUUACUGGGCGUAAAGCGUACGCAGACGGACCGUCAAGUCGGGAGUGAAAGCCCUGGGCUCAACCCAGGAACGGCUUUCGAUACUAGCGGUCUUGAGUUUGGGAGAGGGAAGCGGAAUUCCUGGUGUAGAGGUGAAAUUCGUAGAUAUCAGGAGGAACACCGGCGGCGAAGGCGGCUUCCUGGCCCAAUACUGACGUUCAGGUACGAAAGCGUGGGUAGCAAACAGGAUUAGAUACCCUGUAGUCCACGCCCUAAACGAUGGAUACUAGGCGUAGGAGGUAUCGACCCCUCCUGUGCCGCAGCAAACGCAUUAAGUAUCCCGCCUGGGGAGUACGGCCGCAAGGUUGAAACUCAAAUGAAUUGACGGGGACCCGCACAAGCGGUGGAGCAUGUGGAUUAAUUCGAUACUAACCGAAGAACCUUACCCACUCUUGACAUUGAAGGAAAGCUCUAGAGAUAGAGCCCUCUCUCACAAGGAGACCUGAAAACAGAUGUUGCAUGGCUGUCGUCAGCUCGUGCCGUGAGGUGUACGGUUAAGUCCGCCAACGAGCGCAACCCUCGUUCUGUGUUACCAGCGAGUAAUGUCGGGCACUCACAGGAGACCGCCGGUGUAAGCCGGAGGAAGGUGGGGAUGAUGUCAAGUCAGCAUGGCUCUUACGAGUGGGGCUUCACACAUGCUACAAUGGGCGCAACAAAGGGCAGCGAUACCGCGAGGUGGAGCAAAUCCCAAAAAUACGUCCUCAGUUCAGAUUGCAGUCUGCAACUCGACUGCAUGAAGGCGGAAUCGCUAGUAAACGCAGGUCAGCUAUACUGCGUUGAAUACGUUCCCGGGUCUUGUACACACCGCCCGUCAAGUCACUUGAAUUGCCUUCACCCGAAGUCCGUGGCCUAACCCGCAAGGGAAGGAGCGGCCGAAGGUGAGGGGGGUAAGAGGGACUAAGUCGAAACAAGGUA